RNAcentral lists this ribosomal RNA (410 nucleotides) under uncultured bacterium. RNAcentral describes it as "bacterial SSU rRNA". It matches the Rfam family "Bacterial small subunit ribosomal RNA", at positions 370 to 772 of the family's 1533-position model. The record is from RNAcentral.
AAUGGGGGCAACCCUGAUCCAGCCAUUCCGCGUGAGUGAAGAAGGCCUUUGGGUUGUAAAGCUCUUUCAGCUGGAGUGAAACGGUGCGCUCUAACAUAGCGUGCUAAUGACGGUACCAGCAGAAGAAGCACCGGCUAACUACGUGCCAGCAGCCGCGGUAAUACGAAGGGUGCGAGCGGUAAUCGGAAUUACUGGGCGUAAAGCGUGCGCAGGCGGAUUGUUAAGCAAGACGUGAAGUCCCCGGGCUGAACCUGGGAAUGGCGUUUUGAACUGGCAGUCUAGAGUGCGUCAGAGGGGGGUGGAAUUCCACGUGUAGCAGUGAAAUGCGUAGAGAUGUGGAGGAACACCGAUGGCGAAGGCAGCCCCCUGGGAUGACACUGACGCUCAUGUACGAAAGCGUGGGUAGCAAA